CGCCUGUUUAUCAAAAACAUGUCUUUUUGUUAAUUAUUUAAAGUUUGGCCUGCUCCAUGAUUAUUAAAUAGCCGCAGUAUAUUGACUGUGCAAAGGUAGCAUAAUCAUUAGUUUUUUAAUUGAAAGCUGGUAUGAAUGGUCGGAUGAGGAAGACUCUGUCUCAUUUUAAUUUUAAUUGAAUUUUAUUUUUAAGUUAAAAAGCUUAAAUUUUAUAGAAAGACGAGAAGACCCUAUAGAGUUUAAUAGGUUAAUGUUGUAAUGAAUUUAGGGUUAUAUUUUUAUUAUGGCUUUUACUAUUUUGUUGGGGUGACACUAGAAUUUGAAUAACUUCUUUAUAUGUAUACACUGAUUAGUGAGUAUUGGAUCCUGAAGUUUGGAUUAUAAGAUUAAAUUACCUUAGGGAUAACAGCGUAAUUCUUUUGGAGAGUUCUAAUCAAUAAAAGGGAUUGCGACCUCGAUGUUGGAUUAAAGUUAAAUCCUGGUGCAGAAGCUAGGAUUUUGAGACUGUUCGACUUUUAAACUUUACGUGAUCUGAGUUAAGACCGG
RNAcentral lists this ribosomal RNA (546 nucleotides) under Cerocoma confusa. RNAcentral describes it as "partial 16S ribosomal RNA". It matches the Rfam family "Bacterial large subunit ribosomal RNA", at positions 1797 to 2619 of the family's 2925-position model. The record is from RNAcentral. Lineage: Eukaryota; Metazoa; Arthropoda; Insecta; Coleoptera; Meloidae.